AUUGAACGCUGGCGGCAUGCCUUACACAUGCAAAUCGAACGGUAACGGGCCUUCGGGUGCCGUCGAGUGGCGAACGGGUGGGUAAUACAUCGGACCGUGCCCGAUCGUGGGGGAUAACGCGGCGAAAGCUUUUCUAAUACCGCAUACGACCUACGGAUGAAAGCCGGUGACCGGAAGGCCCUGCGCGGACGGAGCGGCCGAUGGCAGAUUAGGUAGUUGGUGGGAUGAAAGCUUACCAAGCCGUCGCUCUGUAGCUGGUGGGAGAGGAUGAUCAGCCACACUAGGACUGAGACGCGGCGCAGACGCCUACGGGAGGCAGCAGUGGGGAAUUUUAGACAAUAGGCGCAAGCCUGAUGCUGCCAUGCCGCGGGCAGGAUGAAGGCCUUCUGGUUGUAGACUGAUUUUGUACGGAACGAAAAGCCUUCUUUUAGUACAGGAGGGUCUUGACGGUACCGUAAGAAUAAGCGCCGGCUAACUACGUG
This 482-nucleotide ribosomal RNA is filed under the name uncultured bacterium. RNAcentral's name for it is "partial 16S ribosomal RNA". It matches the Rfam family "Bacterial small subunit ribosomal RNA", at positions 30 to 507 of the family's 1533-position model. The record is from RNAcentral.